Molecule: ribosomal RNA, 492 nt
Filed under: uncultured bacterium
Lineage: Bacteria
Description: partial 16S ribosomal RNA
Rfam family: Bacterial small subunit ribosomal RNA
Source: RNAcentral
AGUGAACGCUGGCGGUAGGCCUAACACAUGCAAGUCGAACGGCAGCACAGUAAGCGCUUGCUCCUACGGGUGGCGAGUGGCGGACGGGUGAGGAAUACAUCGGCAUCUACUUUUUCUUGGGUGAUAACGUAGGGAAACUUACGCUAAUACCGCAUACGAUCUACGGCUGAAAGCAGUGGAUCUUGGCACCUUUCGCGAUUCAUUUAGCCGAUGUCGGAUUAGCUAGUUGGCUGGGUAAAGGCCCACCAAGGCGACGAUACGUAGCUGGUCUGAGAGGAUGAUCAGCCACACUGGAACUGAGACACGGUCCAGACUCCUACGGGAGGCAGCAGUGGGGAAUAUUGGGCAAUGGGCGCAAGCCUGAUCCAGCCAUACCGCGUGGGUGAAGAAGGCCUUCGGGUUGUAAAGCCCUUUUGUUGGGAAAGAAAAGCAGCAGGUUAAUACCCCGCUGUUCUGACGGUACCCAAAGAAUAAGCACCGGCUAACUUCGUG